This 624-nucleotide ribosomal RNA is filed under the name Alphaproteobacteria bacterium TsA04s. RNAcentral describes it as "bacterial SSU rRNA". It matches the Rfam family "Bacterial small subunit ribosomal RNA", at positions 96 to 755 of the family's 1533-position model. The record is from RNAcentral. Lineage: Bacteria; Pseudomonadati; Pseudomonadota; Alphaproteobacteria.
UGGCAGACGGGUGAGUAACGCGUGGGAAGCUACCUUGUGGUAGGGGACAACAGUUGGAAACGACUGCUAAUACCCUAUGAGCCCUAUGGGGGAAAGAUUUAUCGCCAUGAGAUGUGCCCGCGUUAGAUUAGCUAGUUGGUAAGGUAAUGGCUUACCAAGGCGACGAUCUAUAGCUGGUCUGAGAGGAUGAUCAGCCACACUGGGACUGAGACACGGCCCAGACUCCUACGGGAGGCAGCAGUGGGGAAUAUUGGACAAUGGGGGCAACCCUGAUCCAGCCAUGCCGCGUGUGUGAUGACGGCCUUAGGGUUGUAAAGCACUUUCAGCAGUGAAGAUAAUGACAUUAACUGCAGAAGAAGCCCCGGCUAACUUCGUGCCAGCAGCCGCGGUAAUACGAAGGGGGCUAGCGUUGUUCGGAAUCACUGGGCGUAAAGAGUACGUAGGCGGACUGAUAAGUUAGGGGUGAAAUCCCAAGGCUCAACCUUGGAACUGCCUUUGAUACUGUCAGUCUUGAGAUCGAGAGAGGUGAGUGGAACUCCGAGUGUAGAGGUGAAAUUCGUAGAUAUUCGGAAGAACACCAGUGGCGAAGGCGGCUCACUGGCUCGAUACUGACGCUGAGGUACG